Molecule: ribosomal RNA, 236 nt
Filed under: Klebsiella pneumoniae subsp. pneumoniae
Lineage: Bacteria; Pseudomonadati; Pseudomonadota; Gammaproteobacteria; Enterobacterales; Enterobacteriaceae
Also listed under: 1 other name
Description: partial 23S ribosomal RNA
Rfam family: Bacterial large subunit ribosomal RNA
Source: RNAcentral
ACGAAUACCGAAGAAUGUUAUCACGGGAGACACACGGCGGGUGCUAACGUCCGUCGUGAAGAGGGAAACAACCCAGACCGCCAGCUAAGGUCCCAAAGUCAUGGUUAAGUGGGAAACGAUGUGGGAAGGCACAGACAGCCAGGAUGUUGGCUUAGAAGCAGCCAUCAUUUAAAGAAAGCGUAAUAGCUCACUGGUCGAGUCGGCCUGCGCGGAAGAUGUAACGGGGCUAAACCAUG